RNAcentral lists this microRNA (22 nucleotides) under Tetranychus urticae (two-spotted spider mite). RNAcentral describes it as "tur-miR-5736a-5p". The record is from miRBase by way of RNAcentral. Lineage: Eukaryota; Metazoa; Arthropoda; Arachnida; Trombidiformes; Tetranychidae.
UGCGGAGUAGACUGGUCAAAUG